Molecule: long non-coding RNA, 150 nt
Organism: Bufo bufo (common toad)
Lineage: Eukaryota; Metazoa; Chordata; Amphibia; Anura; Bufonidae
Exons: 3
Source: RefSeq, a predicted model, not a curated record
UUGAGUCCAGCAGACAGUGGUCACUUCCAGUAGCAGGUCCUAAGCUCUGGAGCUGUUCACAGAGCUCAUGAUCCAGACUUGCGUGUGCUUCUGCCUGCAGGUGCUGUAUGGGGUUGAGUACAAUAGAAGAUCACACAGGCUGCAGCUUCA